UACAGAGGUCUCAAGCGUUGUUCGGAUUUAUUGGGCGUAAAGGGUGCGUAGGCGGCAGAUCAAGUUAGAUGCGAAAUACCCGGGCUUAACUCGGGAACUGCAUUUAAUACUGCUCUGCUCGAGUAUUAGAGAAGAAGCUGGAAUUUACGGUGUAGCAGUGAAAUGCGUAGAUAUCGUAAAGAACGUCAGUGGCGAAAGCGAGCUUCUAGAUAAUUACUGACGCUGAGGCACGAAAGCUAGGGGAGCAAACGGG
Molecule: ribosomal RNA, 253 nt
Filed under: uncultured bacterium
Lineage: Bacteria
Description: partial 16S ribosomal RNA
Rfam family: Bacterial small subunit ribosomal RNA
Source: RNAcentral